GACGAACGCUGGCGGCGUGCCUAAUACAUGCAAGUCGAACGAUAGCGCCCGGUGCUUGCACUGGUCAAUCUAGUGGCGAACGGGUGAGUAACACGUGGGGAACCUUCCCAUCAGAGGGGGAUAACAUCCGGAAACGGAUGCUAAAACCGCAUAGGUCUUCGAACCGCAUGGUUUGAAGAGGAAAAGAGGCGCAAGCUUCUGCUGAUGGAGGGACCCGCGGUGCAUUAGCUAGUUGGUGAGGUAACGGCUCACCAAGGCCGUGAUGCAUAGCCGGCCUGAGAGGGUGAUCGGCCACAUUGGGACUGAGACACGGCCCAAACUCCUACGGGAGGCAGCAGUAGGGAAUCUUCCGCAAUGGACGCAAGUCUGACGGAGCAACGCCGCGUGAGUGAAGAAGGUGUUCGGAUCGUAAAACUCUGUUGUUAGAGAAGAACAAGUGCUAGAGUAACUGUUAGCGCCUUGACGGUAUCUAACCAGAAAGCCACGGCUAACUACGUG
RNAcentral lists this ribosomal RNA (498 nucleotides) under uncultured bacterium. RNAcentral describes it as "partial 16S ribosomal RNA". It matches the Rfam family "Bacterial small subunit ribosomal RNA", at positions 28 to 507 of the family's 1533-position model. The record is from RNAcentral.